Molecule: ribosomal RNA, 484 nt
Filed under: uncultured bacterium
Lineage: Bacteria
Description: partial 16S ribosomal RNA
Rfam family: Bacterial small subunit ribosomal RNA
Source: RNAcentral
AUUGAACGCUGGCGGCAGGCCUAGCACAUGCAAGUCGAGCGGAUGAAGGGAGCUUGCUCCUGGAUUCAGCGGCGGACGGGUGAGUAAUGCCUAGGAAUCUGCCUGGUAGUGGGGGAUAACGUCCGGAAACGGGCGCUAAUACCGCAUACGUCCUGAGGGAGAAAGUGGGGGAUCUUCGGACCUCACGCUAUCAGAUGAGCCUAGGUCGGAUUAGCUAGUUGGUGGGGUAAAGGCCUACCAAGGCGACGAUCCGUAACUGGUCUGAGAGGAUGAUCAGUCACACUGGAACUGAGACACGGUCCAGACUCCUACGGGAGGCAGCAGUGGGGAAUAUUGGACAAUGGGCGAAAGCCUGAUCCAGCCACGCCGCGUGUGUGAAGAAGGUCUUCGGAUUGUAAAGCACUUUAAGUUGGGAGGAAGGGCAGUAAGUUAAUACCUUGCUGUUUUGACGUUACCAACAGAAUAAGCACCGGCUAACUUCGUG